Lasiosphaeria ovina is the source of this 113-nucleotide non-coding RNA. The record is from the annotation of a GenBank genome assembly. Lineage: Eukaryota; Fungi; Ascomycota; Sordariomycetes; Sordariales; Lasiosphaeriaceae.
GGGUACAUGGUCUAGUGGUAUGAUUUCUGUUUUGCAUUGACUCGGCCUCCUUGAUGAGACCAGUGAAGGACAAUCGUUACAGACGGUCCCGCGUUCGAUCCGCGGUGUAUCCA